GACGAACGCUGGCGGCGUGCUUAACACAUGCAAGUCGAACGGUAAGGCCCUUCGGGGUACACGAGUGGCGAACGGGUGAGUAACACGUGGGUGAUCUGCCCUGCACUUCGGGAUAAGCCUGGGAAACUGGGUCUAAUACCGGAUAGGACCACUGCCUGCAUGGGUGGUGGUGGAAAGCUUUUGCGGUGUGGGAUGGGCCCGCGGCCUAUCAGCUUGUUGGUGGGGUGAUGGCCUACCAAGGCGACGACGGGUAGCCGGCCUGAGAGGGUGACCGGCCACGCUGGGACUGAGAUACGGCCCAGACUCCUAAGGGAGGCAGCAGUGGGGAAUAUUGCACAAUGGGCGCAAUCCGGAUGCAGCGACGCCGCGUGAGGGAUGACGGCCUUCGGGUUGUAAACCUCUUUCAGCACCGACGAAGCGCAAGUGACGGUAGGUGCAGAAGAAGGACCGGCCAACUACGUGCCAGCCGCCGCGGUAA
This 478-nucleotide ribosomal RNA is filed under the name uncultured bacterium. RNAcentral's name for it is "partial 16S ribosomal RNA". It matches the Rfam family "Bacterial small subunit ribosomal RNA", at positions 28 to 523 of the family's 1533-position model. The record is from RNAcentral.